GCAGAAGAGAAUAAAAACAAGGAGAAGCCAGGCUUGUGGCUGCAUCUGUAGUCAGGGGGCCCCAGGGUUCUGUGAGCUCGGGAACUCCAGACCAGCCUGGGCAACUUAGUGAAAAGAAAAGAAACUGGAAAAAAAUGUUUUAAUAAUACGUUUUAUUUACCCCAAUAAAUCCAAAAUGUUAUUCAAACACAUAAUCAGUAUAAGAGAGGUUUUACAGGGCCUUUUUCCAGUCUACACCCAGCAUGCAUAUUACACCAAUGACGAGUGUCACCAGGGACCAGUCCCAUCCCAGUGCUGCAGCCACCCGUGGCUUGCAGCUGUGACACUGACCAUGGCUGUUCCACACCUAAAGACAGGGAAGCUGGACGCAGGGUGUAUGCCUGGGAUUCCAGCAAUCCAAGAUGCCCAGGCAGUUUGAGGCAGCCUCAGCAAUUUAGUGAGGCCUUAACUGAAACUUCUUUCUAAAGGGCCAGAGGGCCCCAGGACUGAAAACCAAGGUGGGAACCUGCCCAAGGCCAAGCUGGGGUGGGGACCACCAAGGCAGAGGCAGAGGUGGGGACACCACAAAGUGCAGGUGGGACUAGGGCCUGGAGGUCCUGUGGCCACAUGGAGCAUCCUGGCUUUGUGGGAUGCUUCAGGACAGCUGGAGGCCAAGUUGGGUCAGUGGGUCCCCUAGGAGCAGGAAGGACAGUUGGAGUGGGAAGUGGAGAUGGCCAUAGGCUAGAGGAAUAGCUGGACUUGAGGCUCCUCUGAGCUCCACAGAGUAAAGGGAGCAGAUUUCUGGUUGAUUGGGGAAGGAGGGACCCAGCAAGACUGGGAGAAAGAGGAGAAGGAAGAUGUGGGUCCCUGGGGGACAGCACCAGAGAGGCACUGUCCAGGGAGCAGCAGGCCAGGAGGGUGACCUGGCUGUAAGAAAGGGCAGCCAGGGGCCUCCAGGUGGGCUGAAGCAGGCAGCCUGGCCUGCCCUCAAUCAGGUAACUCAGGGGGCCAAAGAAGACUGGCCCUUGUUCCAGAACUGCCCCAGAAGGCAGCCACACCCACUUCCCAGAAGGCGACCCACAGGCCCCUGAACUCCAAGGAAGAGGGACCAGGUGGGCUAGUCCACUGAGUUCUGCAAAGGUCAGCCUCACUCCCUCAGAGCUUUGAACUUGCCUUUUGUUCCCGGGACUCGCUGCCUUUCUGAACCCAGUCUAAAAAUUACUGCAAUUCUUGCUGGUAUUAGUCAUCCCCUUGUGACUGAGGCUUGGGUACGUAGAUCUUUAAAUCCUGCAAUUAUUUCUCAACCUCGGGUUUUAAGAAUAAAAGUUGAAAAUACAACCAACCAGUAGUGACCGGCUCUGAGUCUGUGUCAACAGCACCUUCUUCUGAAGCCUGGAGAUAAUUCACACUCUCCGUAAUAAUGAAGCCAGAGUUCAAGACAGGCCUUCAGCGCAGAUAGGCGAGAGUCAGUAAGAGAACCCAGGAACUGAAAUGCUCCUGUCUUCACAGCCCUCCCUCCACCCUUCUGGAGGUCACCUGCCCUGCUCCAACCUGUUGCUAAGGAAUGAGAACUACUCUCCAGCAGGUCCACUCUGCUUGUUCUGCCUCUCUACAGCAUCCCCACACGGAAGCGUCAAACCUAAGCUCCCCACACCUCAGGUUGGAGAGAAGCCUUCCCUACCUCCAGGGAAACUGCUGACACCGUGGCCUCCAUCCUCAUCCAGCAGAUCAUUCCCAGGUUCGGACUUCCCGCCUCCAUCCAGUCAGACUACAGUCCGGCCUUCACUUCUCAGGUGGUUCAACUAGUCUCCAAAGGCCUCAACAUCACUUGGAGGCUCCCCAUCCCCACCAACCCCAAUCCCUGGGUAAGGCUGAGAGGCCUAAUGUCAUUCUCAGGAUCAUCUCACUAAACUCGCUAUUGAACUCGGGCUCUUCUGGCCCAGGCUCCUGCAGUUGGCCUUCACCUGAAUCCAGGCAGCCCCUAGAGCUCCUUCAGGCCUUAGCCCCUUUGAGCAACUCUGUGGGUGCCCUUUCUUAACCACCCAAAGCUUUCCCAUCACUCCUCCUCGCUUGUGUCCUACCUGCUGUGAUAGUAGGAGCAAAUGUGACUCCAUUUUGUUUUAUGACUUCAUCCUGUAAAACAACCAGGCCAGGUAGAAGGGUCCUGACUGGGGCAAGAUGUUCU
Non-coding RNA from Ictidomys tridecemlineatus (thirteen-lined ground squirrel), 2164 nucleotides. Lineage: Eukaryota; Metazoa; Chordata; Mammalia; Rodentia; Sciuridae. The record is from RefSeq and is a predicted model, not a curated record.